Molecule: ribosomal RNA, 406 nt
Filed under: uncultured bacterium
Lineage: Bacteria
Description: bacterial SSU rRNA
Rfam family: Bacterial small subunit ribosomal RNA
Source: RNAcentral
GACGAACGCUGGCGGCGUGCUUAACACAUGCAAGUCGAGCGGUAAGGCCCUUUCGGGGGUACGACGAGCGGCGAACGGGUGAGUAACACGUGGGUGACCUGCCCUCAGCUCUGGGAUAAGCCUGGGAAACCGGGUCUAAUACUGGAUAUGACUCCAUGACGCAUGUUGUGGGGUGGAAAGCCUUGUGCGGCUGAGGAUGGGCCCGCGGCCUAUCAGCUUGUUGGUGGGGUGAGGCCUACCAAGGCGACGACGGGUAGCCGGCCUGAGAGGGCGACCGGCCACACUGGGACUGAGACACGGCCCAGACUCCUACGGGAGGGCAGCAGUGGGGAAGUCUUGCGCAAUGGGCGAAAGCCUGACGCAGCGACGCCGCGUGAGGGAUGACGGCCUCGGUUGUAACGUACUU